Long non-coding RNA from Telopea speciosissima, 151 nucleotides. RefSeq lists it as uncharacterized. The record is from RefSeq and is a predicted model, not a curated record. The transcript has 3 exons. NCBI's taxonomy places the organism in Eukaryota, Viridiplantae, Streptophyta, Magnoliopsida, Proteales, Proteaceae.
AUACCAUUGCCAUGAAAGAAAACAUCAACCAUUAAUUUGAAGGUUUCAAUGACAAAAAUAUUCCCUCAUAUUUCAUUCAUGAAGGAACCUGGUAUAGGGAAGAAUUCUAUGAGAUGAUUUCAAUAGAGAACGAUGAGUCAAGGAUUAUAUA